AGAGUUUGAUCCUGGCUCAGGAUGAACGCUGGCGGCGUGCCUAACACAUGCAAGUCGAACGGGGUAUAUAAGCGGAAGUUUACGGAUGGAAGGUUAUAUACUUAGUGGCGGACGGGUGAGUAACGCGUGGGCAACCUGCCCCGUGCCGGGGGAUACCGCCUGGAAACAGGCGCUAAUACCGCAUAAGCGCAUACAGCCGCAUGGGUGUAUGCGGAAAGCUCCGGCGGCACGGGAUGGGCCCGCGCCCGAUUAGCCAGUUGGCGGGGUAACGGCCCACCAAAGCGACGAUCGGUAGCCGGCCUGAGAGGGCGGACGGCCACAUUGGGACUGAGACACGGCCCAAACUCCUACGGGAGGCAGCAGUGGGGAAUAUUGCACAAUGGGGGAAACCCUGAUGCAGCAACGCCGCGUGGGUGAAGGAGCGUUUCGGCGCGUAAAGCCCUGUCAGCGGGGAAGAAGAAAGACGGUACCCGACCAAGAAGCCCCGGCUAACUACGUGCCAGCAGCCGCGGUAAUACGUAGGGGGCGAGCGUUAUCCGGAAUUACUGGGUGUAAAGGGAGCGUAGACGGCGAGGUAAGCCUGAAGUGGAAGCCCGCGGCCCAACCGCGGAACUGCUUUGGGAACUGUUUUGCUGGAGUAUGGGAGGGGUAAGCGGAAUUCCUGGUGUAGCGGUGAAAUGCGUAGAUAUCAGGAGGAACACCGGUGGCGAAGGCGGCUUACUGGACCAUAACUGACGUUGAGGCUCGAAAGCGUGGGGAGCGAACAGGAUUAGAUACCCUGGUAGUCCACGCCGUAAACGA
RNAcentral lists this ribosomal RNA (801 nucleotides) under uncultured bacterium. RNAcentral describes it as "bacterial SSU rRNA". It matches the Rfam family "Bacterial small subunit ribosomal RNA", at positions 8 to 809 of the family's 1533-position model. The record is from RNAcentral.